GAUUAUGGUCUUACGAGUAGGGCUACACACGUGCUACAAUGGCAUAUACAAAGAGAAGCGACCUCGCGAGAGCAAGCGGACCUCAUAAAGUAUGUCGUAGUCCGGAUUGGAGUCUGCAACUCGACUCCAUGAAGUCGGAAUCGCUAGUAAUCGUGGAUCAGAAUGCCACGGUGAAUACGUUCCCGGGCCUUGUACACACCGCCCGUCACACCAUGGGAGUGGGUUGCAAAAGAAGUAGGUAGCUUAACCUUCGGGAGGGCGCUUACCACUUUGUGAUUCAUGACUGGGGUGAAGUCGUAACAAGGUAACCGUAGGGGAACCUGCGGUUGGAUCACCUCCUAA
RNAcentral lists this ribosomal RNA (342 nucleotides) under Citrobacter freundii. Its description in RNAcentral is "bacterial SSU rRNA". It matches the Rfam family "Bacterial small subunit ribosomal RNA", at positions 1191 to 1533 of the family's 1533-position model. Lineage: Bacteria; Pseudomonadati; Pseudomonadota; Gammaproteobacteria; Enterobacterales; Enterobacteriaceae. The record is from RNAcentral.